AGGCUUUGAUCCUGGCUCAGGACGAACGCUGGCGGUAUGCCUAAUACAUGCAAGUCGAACGCUGAAGCACUCUGCUUGCAGAGUGCGGAUGAGUGGCGAACGGGUGAGUAACACGUGGGUAACCUGCCCAUAAGAGGGGGAUAACAUCCGGAAACGGGUGCUAAUACCGCAUAGGUGAACGGAGCGCAUGCUCUGUUCAUUAAAGAUGGCCUUGUGCUAUCGCUUACGGAUGGACCCGCGGCGUAUUAGCUAGUUGGUGAGGUAAUGGCUCACCAAGGCGAUGAUACGUAGCCGACCUGAGAGGGUGAUCGGCCACACUGGGACUGAGACACGGCCCAGACUCCUACGGGAGGCAGCAGUAGGGAAUCUUCCACAAUGGGCGAAAGCCUGAUGGAGCAAUACCGCGUGAGUGAAGAAGGUCUUCGGAUCGUAAAGCUCUGUUGUUAGAGAAGAACACGCAGAACAGUAACUGGUUUUGCGCUGACGGUAUCUUACCAGAAAGUCACGGCGUAAAA
RNAcentral lists this ribosomal RNA (515 nucleotides) under uncultured Alkalibacterium sp. Its description in RNAcentral is "bacterial SSU rRNA". It matches the Rfam family "Bacterial small subunit ribosomal RNA", at positions 8 to 503 of the family's 1533-position model. The record is from RNAcentral. Lineage: Bacteria; Bacillati; Bacillota; Bacilli; Lactobacillales; Carnobacteriaceae.